This 234-nucleotide long non-coding RNA is filed under the name Capsicum annuum. RNAcentral's name for it is "long non-coding RNA (CANN_LNC017307)". Lineage: Eukaryota; Viridiplantae; Streptophyta; Magnoliopsida; Solanales; Solanaceae. The record is from RNAcentral.
UCACCUACCAGUAGAGAGUGUGAUUCUUAGAAGAAGUCCUUGCAUUCUAGAACUAUGUAGCCAGCAUAGGUUGAGACAUUAAUACCUGUCACUUAAGGGUAGAUGAGGUGGCUUAACCUGUCAGAUGAAGGUUCCUACCGUUCUCAUUAGAGUACCUGCCAGAUGAGGGUCACUCACAGCUUGUCCUUACUAGUGGUGCGGUAUUGACACCCUUUCAAUCAGGGUAGAGAUUGG